RNAcentral lists this unclassified non-coding RNA (352 nucleotides) under soil metagenome. RNAcentral describes it as "partial contains 5.8S ribosomal RNA, internal transcribed spacer 2, and large subunit ribosomal RNA". The stretch from base 1 to 120 matches the Rfam family "5.8S ribosomal RNA", at positions 35 to 154 of the family's 154-position model. The record is from RNAcentral.
GAUGGAGAACGUAGCGAAAUGCGAUAAGUAAUGUGAAUUGCAGAAUUCAGUGAAUCAUCGAAUCUUUGAACGCACAUUGCUCCCGCCAGUAUUCUGGCGGGCAUGCCUGUUCGAGCGUCAUUUCAACCCUCAGGCCCCCAGUGCCUGGUGUUGGGGAUCGGCCCAGCCUUCCUGUAAGGCCGCCGGCCCCGAAAUCUAGUGGCGGUCUCGCUGUAGUCCUCCUCUGCGUAGUAGCACAACCUCGCAGUUGGAACGCGGCGGUGGCCAUGCCGUUAAACACCCCACUUCUGAAAGUUGACCUCGGAUCAGGUAGGAAUACCCGCUGAACUUAAGCAUAUCAAUAAGCGGAGGA